GCCCGCAAAUUACCCACUGGGCGAAGCCCGAGGUAGUGACGAAAAAUAACGAUACCGGUCUCAUCCGAGGCCCGGUAAUCGGAAUGAGUACACUUUAAAUCCUUUAACGAGGAACAAUUGGAGGGCAAGUCUGGUGCCAGCAGCCGCGGUAAUA
Molecule: ribosomal RNA, 154 nt
Filed under: uncultured marine bacterium
Lineage: Bacteria
Description: partial 16S ribosomal RNA
Rfam family: Eukaryotic small subunit ribosomal RNA
Source: RNAcentral